AGCGAACGCUGGCGGCAGGCCUAACACAUGCAAGUCGAACGGCAACACCGUAAGUGCUUGCUGUUACGGGUGGCGCGUGGGGGAAGGGUGACGUAUAUACCGGACUCUACUUUUUCGUGGGGGAUAAUGUAGGGAAAGCUACGCUAGUACAGGAUAUGACGUAGCAGGGUAAGCAGGGGAUCUUUUCGGCUUUUGGGGUUGUAUUAGCCGAUGACGGAUUAGCUAGUUGGCGGGGUAAUGGGCAAGGUAGGCGACGAUCGGUAGCUGGUCUGAGGGGAUGGUCAGCCACACUGGAAGUGAGACACGGUCCAUACUCCUGCGAGAGGCAGCAGUGGGGAAUCUUAGGCAAUGGGGGCGAGCCUGAUCCAGCGAUACGGCGUGGGUGAAGAAGGCGCUCGGUGUGGAAAGCCCUUUUGUUGGGAGAGAAAAGCAGCAGGUUAAGACGCCGCGGUACUGACGGUACCCGGAGAAGAAGCACCGGCUAACUUCGUG
Molecule: ribosomal RNA, 492 nt
Filed under: uncultured bacterium
Lineage: Bacteria
Description: partial 16S ribosomal RNA
Rfam family: Bacterial small subunit ribosomal RNA
Source: RNAcentral